This is a non-coding RNA of Ananas comosus (pineapple), 99 nucleotides long. The record is from Rfam. NCBI's taxonomy places the organism in Eukaryota, Viridiplantae, Streptophyta, Magnoliopsida, Poales, Bromeliaceae.
GGUGGUGGCAAGACCCAAGAGGUUAUGAGAGUUAAGUGUGUUAGGACGGGAGUAGUCCUAGGAUGGGUGACCCCCUGGGAAGUCGGUGCGUCACAAAUA